GAGCGCGGGGCGGGGCG
RNAcentral lists this ribosomal RNA (17 nucleotides) under Giardia duodenalis. Its description in RNAcentral is "Giardia intestinalis large subunit ribosomal RNA". Lineage: Eukaryota; Fornicata; Diplomonadida; Hexamitidae. The record is from RNAcentral.